This 463-nucleotide ribosomal RNA is filed under the name uncultured candidate division MSBL2 bacterium. RNAcentral describes it as "bacterial SSU rRNA". It matches the Rfam family "Bacterial small subunit ribosomal RNA", at positions 960 to 1415 of the family's 1533-position model. The record is from RNAcentral.
CGCGAAGAACCUUACCUGGGCUUGACAUCACCGAAAUCACCUUUAUACGGUGAGUGCCUCGAUUUAUCAAGGAAUCGUGUGACAGGUGCUGCAUGGCUGUCGUCAGUUCGUGUCGUGAGAUGUUGGGUUAAGUCCCGCAACGAACGCAACCCCUGUCUUUAGUUACCAGCAUUAAGUUGGGGACUCUAGAGAGACUGCCAAGGUGACAACUUGGAGGAAGGUGGGGACGACGUCAAGUCAUCAUGGUCCUUACGUCCAGGGCUAGAAACGUACUACAAUGGUUGGCACAGAGGGGAGCAACACAGCGAUGUGAAGCAAAUCCUUAAAACCAACCUCAGUUCGGAUUGGAGUCUGCAACUCGACUCCAUGAAGUUGGAAUCGCUAGUAAUCGCGGAUCAGCAAUGCCGCGGUGAAUACGUUCCCGGGUCUUGUACACACCGCCCGUCAAGUCAACCGAGUUAUU